UCCGGGGGGGGGACCUCUAGAGAUUAGAGUUUGAUCCUGGCUCAGAUUGAACGCUGGCGGCAGGCCUAACACAUGCAAGUCGAGCGGCAGCACGGGAAGCUUGCUUCCUGGUGGCGAGCGGCGGACGGGUGAGUAAUGCAUAGAAAUCUGCCCGGUAGUGGGGGAUAACCUGGGGAAACCCAGGCUAAUACCGCAUACGUCCUACGGGAGAAAGCAGGGGAUCUUCGGACCUUGCGCUAUCGGAUGAGUCUAUGUCGGAUUAGCUUGUUAGUGAGGUAAUGGCUCACCAAGGCGACGAUCCGUAGCUGGUCUGAGAGGAUGAUCAGCCACAUCGGGACUGAGACACGGCCCGAACUCCUACGGGAGGCAGCAGUGGGGAAUAUUGGACAAUGGGCGAAAGCCUGAUCCAGCCAUGCCGCGUGUGUGAAGAAGGCCUUCGGGUUGUAAAGCACUUUCAGUGGGGAAGAAAGCCUUGGGGCUAAUACCCUCGAGGAAGGACAUCACCCACAGAAGAAGCACCGGCUAACUCCGUGCCAGCAGCCGCGGUAAUACGGAGGGUGCGAGCGUUAAUCGGAAUUACUGGGCGUAAAGCGCGCGUAGGCGGUCUGAUAAGCCGGUUGUGAAAGCCCCGGGCUCAACCUGGGAACGGCAGCCGGAACUGUCAGGCUAGAGUGCAGGAGAGGAAGGUAGAAUUCCCGGUGUAGCGGUGAAAUGCGUAGAGAUCGGGAGGAAUACCAGUGGCGAAAGCGGCCUUCUGGACUGACACUGACGCUGAGGUGCGAAAGCGUGGGUAGCAAACAGGAUUAGAUACCCUGGUAGUCCACGCCGUAAACGAUGUCGACUAGCCGUUGGGCUCCUUGAGAGCUUUGUGGCGCAGUUAACGCGAUAAGUCGACCGCCUGGGGAGUACGGCCGCAAGGUUAAAACUCAAAUGAAUUGACGGGGGCCCGCACAAGCGGUGGAGCAUGUGGUUUAAUUCGAUGCAACGCGAAGAACCUUACCUACCUUGACAUCGUGCGAACUUUCCAGAGAUGGAUUGUGCCUUCGGAACGCACAGAACAGUGCUGCAUGGCUGUCGUCAGCUCGGUUGUGAAUGUUUGGUAAGUCCGGUACGAGCGCACCCUUGUCUUAUUUGCAGCGGUCAUGGCUGACUCUAGGAACUGGCGGGAAAAACGAGAGGUGGGACACGUCAGUACAUGCCUUACGGUAGCUAACACGUCCUACAUGGCGGUUACAAGGGUUGCCAACUCGC
RNAcentral lists this ribosomal RNA (1251 nucleotides) under uncultured bacterium. RNAcentral describes it as "bacterial SSU rRNA". It matches the Rfam family "Bacterial small subunit ribosomal RNA", at positions 1 to 1258 of the family's 1533-position model. The record is from RNAcentral.